RNAcentral lists this ribosomal RNA (497 nucleotides) under uncultured bacterium. RNAcentral describes it as "partial 16S ribosomal RNA". It matches the Rfam family "Bacterial small subunit ribosomal RNA", at positions 28 to 507 of the family's 1533-position model. The record is from RNAcentral.
GAUGAACGCUGGCGGCGUGCCUAAUACAUGCAAGUCGAGCGAACGGACGAGAAGCUUGCUUCUCUGAUGUUAGCGGCGGACGGGUGAGUAACACGUGGAUAACCUACCUAUAAGACUGGGAUAACUUCGGGAAACCGGAGCUAAUACCGGAUAAUAUUUUGAACCGCAUGGUUCAAAAGUGAAAGACGGUCUUGCUGUCCCUUAUAGAUGGAUCCGCGUUGGAUUAGCUAGUUGGUACGGUAACGGCUUACCAAGGCAACGAUGCGUAGCUGAUCUGAGAGGAUGAUCAGUCACACUGGAACUGAGACACGGUCCAGACUCCUACGGGAGGCAGCAGUGGGGAAUAUUGGACAAUGGGCGAAAGCCUGAUCCAGCCAUGCCGCGUGUGUGAAGAAGGUCUUCGGAUCGUAAAGCACUGUAAGUUGGGAAGAAGGGCAGUAAGUUAAUAUCUUGCUGUCUUGACGUUACCAACAGAAUAAGCAACGGCUAACUUCGUG